CCAGUUGAUUUUAUUUAUUAUUUCCUUUGUUUUUUUGAAAUCAUGCUUCGAUUUCUCUUCUUCUCAGUUUCGGUUCUACUUCUUUCCCAGAUCAGUCUGUUAUGGGUUUCUUCUUCUUCUCCGGUGGCAGAUCGUCGUGGAGGAGGAGUUGUCGGUGGUCGAUUGAAGCAGGAACCCGGUGGCGGUGCUGAGGAGUUCGGGU
This 202-nucleotide long non-coding RNA is filed under the name Populus tremula. Its description in RNAcentral is "long non-coding RNA (PTRE_LNC003420)". The record is from RNAcentral. Lineage: Eukaryota; Viridiplantae; Streptophyta; Magnoliopsida; Malpighiales; Salicaceae.